Pseudohyphozyma bogoriensis is the source of this 96-nucleotide non-coding RNA. The record is from the annotation of a GenBank genome assembly. Lineage: Eukaryota; Fungi; Basidiomycota; Microbotryomycetes; Chrysozymaceae.
GACACCAUCUCCUAGUGGUUAUGGAGGGAGUUUACUACAUGUAGAUGUGUACUGCUCCUGCACUUGUGCUCGUGGGUUCGAAUCCCACUGGUGUCU